This 429-nucleotide ribosomal RNA is filed under the name Acidobacteriota bacterium. Its description in RNAcentral is "Acidobacteria bacterium partial 16S ribosomal RNA". It matches the Rfam family "Bacterial small subunit ribosomal RNA", at positions 355 to 776 of the family's 1533-position model. The record is from RNAcentral. Lineage: Bacteria; Pseudomonadati; Acidobacteriota.
UGGGGAAUUUUGGACAAUGGGGGAAACCCUGAUCCAGCCAUCCCGCGUGUGCGAUGAAGGCCUUCGGGUUGUAAAGCACUUUUGGCAGGAAAGAAACGUCAUGGGUUAAUACCCCGUGAAACUGACGGUACCUGCAGAAUAAGCACCGGCUAACUACGUGCCAGCAGCCGCGGUAAUACGUAGGGUGCAAGCGUUAAUCGGAAUUACUGGGCGUAAAGCGUGCGCAGGCGGUUCGGAAAGAAAGAUGUGAAAUCCCAGAGCUCAACUUUGGAACUGCAUUUUUAACUACCGGGCUAGAGGGUGGCAGAGGGGGGUGGAAUUCCGCGUGUAGGAGUGAAAUGCGUAGAUAGGCGGAGGAACACCGAUGGCGAAGGCAGCCUCCUGGGAUAACACUGACGCUCAUGCACGAAAGCGUGGGGAGCAAACAGG